Molecule: ribosomal RNA, 1342 nt
Filed under: metagenome
Description: bacterial SSU rRNA
Rfam family: Archaeal small subunit ribosomal RNA
Source: RNAcentral
CACGUCAAUAAUCUGACCUCGAGUAAGGGAUAGCCUUGGGAAACUGAGGGUAAACCCUUAUAGGAGAUGAUGUCUGGAAUGACUUAUCUUUUAAAAGCAAUGCUCGAGGAUGAGUUGGCGGCCGAUUAGGUAGUUGGUGGGGUAACGGCUCACCAAGCCUAUGAUCGGUACGGGCCAUGAGAGUGGGAGCCCGGAGAAGGAUUCUGAGACACUAAUCCUAGCCCUACGGGGUGCAGCAGGCGAGAAAACUUUACACUACGCGAAAGCGUGAUAAGGGUAUUCCCAGUGCCAAUGCUUAGCAUUGGCUUUUGCAAAGGGUAAAAUCCUUGGCGAAUAAGUGGUGGGUAAGCGGGUGCCAGCCGCCGCGGUAAUACCUGCGCCACAAGUGGCAAUCACGGUUAUUGGGCCUAAAGCGUCCGUAGUUGGCUUUGUAAGUCUUUUGUUAAACUAUAACGCACAACGUUAUAUUCGCAAAAGAUACUGCGAAGCUAGGGACCAGAGAGAGGUUAGGGGUAUUCAUAGGGGAGCGGUAAAAUGCGAUAAUCCUAUGAAGACCACCUGUGGCGAAGGCGCCUAACCAGAAUGGCUCCGACAAUGAGGGACGAAAGCUAGGGUAGCGAAACGGAUUAGAUACCCGUGUAGUCCUGGCUGUAAACGCUGUGAGCUAGGUGUUGCAUUUCCAAAAGGAUUUGCAGUGUCGUAGUGAAGACGUUAAGCUCACCGCCUGGGGAGUACGGUCGCAAGACUGAAACUUAAAGGAAUUGACGGGGGCGCACCACAACGGGUGCGGCGUGCGGUUCAAUCGGAUUCUACACCGAGAAUCUCACCAGGGGCGACGGCAGGAUGAUUGUCAGGUUAAAGGCCUUACAGGACGAGCCGAGAGCUAGUGCAUGGCCGUCGCCAGCUCGUGCCGUGAGGUGUCCAGUUAAGUCUGGUAACGAGCGAGACCUACAUCUGAAUUUGCUAACGCCUAAACUUUAGGAGCGAGCACAAUACAGAGACUGCCCGGGAAACUGGGAGGAAGGUGUAGGCAACGACAGGUCAGUAUGCUGCGAAUCUCCUGGGCUACACGCGCGCAACAAUGGUAAGGACAAUGGGCUGCAACUUCGAGAGAAGAAGCUAAUCCUCUAAACCUUAUCCAAGUCCAGAUUGAGGGUCGUAACUCACCCUCAUGACGAUGGAAUCCGUAGUAAUUGGAUUUUAGCAGAGUCCAGUGAAUAUGUCCCUGCGCCUUGCACACACUGCCCGUCAAGUCAUCCGAACAGGAUUUAGAUGAGGCGUUAGUCAUUCGGACUAGCGACGAAUCUAGGUUUUGUGAGGCGGACUAAGUCGACACAAGGUA